This 253-nucleotide ribosomal RNA is filed under the name uncultured bacterium. RNAcentral describes it as "partial 16S ribosomal RNA". It matches the Rfam family "Bacterial small subunit ribosomal RNA", at positions 524 to 776 of the family's 1533-position model. The record is from RNAcentral.
UACGUAGGUGGCAAGCGUUGUCCGGAUUUACUGGGCGUAAAGAGCGCGCAGGCGGUUGUGCAAGUCGGGUGUGAAAGCCCCCGGCUCAACUGGGGAGGGUCACGCGAUACUGUUCGACUUGAAGGCAGGAGAGGGAAGUGGAAUUCCCGGUGUAGUGGUGAAAUGCGUAGAUAUCGGGAGGAACACCAGUGGCGAAGGCGACUUCCUGGCCUGUUCUUGACGCUGAGGCGCGAAAGCUAGGGUAGCAAACGGG